This 662-nucleotide ribosomal RNA is filed under the name uncultured bacterium. RNAcentral describes it as "bacterial SSU rRNA". It matches the Rfam family "Bacterial small subunit ribosomal RNA", at positions 202 to 842 of the family's 1533-position model. The record is from RNAcentral.
GAAAGAGGGGGACCUGCUUGCAGGCCUCUCGCGAGCGGAGCGGCCGAUGACUGAUUAGCCGGUUGGUGAGGUAACGGCUCACCAAAGCAACGAUCAGUAGCUGGUCUGAGAGGACGACCAGCCACACUGGGACCGAGACACGGCCCAGACUCCUACGGGAGGCAGCAGUGGGGAAUUUUGGACAAUGGGCGCAAGCCUGAUCCAGCUAUUCCGCGUGUGGGAUGACGGCCCUCGGGUUGUAAACCACUUUAGUAGAGAACGAAAAGGAGCUAUCGAAUAAAUAGCUCUGCUGACGGUACUCUAAGAAUAAGCACCGGCUAACUACGUGCCAGCAGCCGCGGUAAUACGUAGGGUGCGAGCGUUAAUCGGAAUUACUGGGCGUAAAGGGUGUGCAGGCGGCUGAGUAAGACAGAUGUGAAAUCCCCGGGCUUAACCUGGGAACCGCAUAUGUGACUGCUUGGCUAGAGUGCGUCAGAGGGAGGUGGAAUUCCACGUGUAGCAGUGAAAUGCGUAGAUAUGUGGAAGAACACCGAUGGCGAAGGCAGCCUCCUGGGACGCAACUGACGCUCAUACACGAAAGCGUGGGGAGCAAACAGGAUUAGAUACCCUGGUAGUCCACGCCCUAAACGAUGUCAACUAGUUGUUGGGGAUUAAAAUUCUCA